GCGGAGGGAUCAUUACCGAGUUUACAACUCCCAAACCCCUGUGAACAUACCACUUGUUGCCUCGGCGGAUCAGCCCGCUCCCGGUAAAACGGGACGGCCCGCCAGAGGACCCCUAAACUCUGUUUCUAUAUGUAACUUCUGAGUAAAACCAUAAAUAAAUCAAAACUUUCAACAACGGAUCUCUUGGUUCUGGCAUCGAUGAAGAACGCAGCAAAAUGCGAUAAGUAAUGUGAAUUGCAGAAUUCAGUGAAUCAUCGAAUCUUUGAACGCACAUUGCGCCCGCCAGUAUUCUGGCGGGCAUGCCUGUUCGAGCGUCAUUUCAACCCUCAAGCACAGCUUGGUGUUGGGACUCGCGUUAAUUCGCGUUCCUCAAAUUGAUUGGCGGUCACGUCGAGCUUCCAUAGCGUAGUAGUAAAACCCUCGUUACUGGUAAUCGUCGCGGCCACGCCGUUAAACCCCAACUUCUGAAUGUUGACCUCGGAUCAGGUAGGAAUACCCGCUGAACUUAAGCAUAUCAAUAA
Molecule: ribosomal RNA, 521 nt
Filed under: uncultured Fusarium
Lineage: Eukaryota; Fungi; Ascomycota; Sordariomycetes; Hypocreales; Nectriaceae
Description: eukaryotic LSU rRNA
Rfam family: 5.8S ribosomal RNA (bases 164-317)
Source: RNAcentral